This 2921-nucleotide ribosomal RNA is filed under the name Bacillus pacificus. RNAcentral's name for it is "23S ribosomal RNA". It matches the Rfam family "Bacterial large subunit ribosomal RNA". The record is from RNAcentral. Lineage: Bacteria; Bacillati; Bacillota; Bacilli; Caryophanales; Bacillaceae.
GGUUAAGUUAGAAAGGGCGCACGGUGGAUGCCUUGACACUAGGAGUCGAUGAAGGACGGGACUAACGCCGAUAUGCUUCGGGGAGCUGUAAGUAAGCUUUGAUCCGAAGAUUUCCGAAUGGGGAAACCCACCAUACGUAAUGGUAUGGUAUCCUUAUCUGAAUACAUAGGGUAAGGAAGACAGACCCAGGGAACUGAAACAUCUAAGUACCUGGAGGAAGAGAAAGCAAAUGCGAUUUCCUGAGUAGCGGCGAGCGAAACGGAACAUAGCCCAAACCAAGAGGCUUGCCUCUUGGGGUUGUAGGACAUUCUAUACGGAGUUACAAAGGAACGAGGUAGACGAAGCGACCUGGAAAGGUCCGUCGUAGAGGGUAACAACCCCGUAGUCGAAACUUCGUUCUCUCUUGAAUGUAUCCUGAGUACGGCGGAACACGUGAAAUUCCGUCGGAAUCUGGGAGGACCAUCUCCCAAGGCUAAAUACUCCCUAGUGAUCGAUAGUGAACCAGUACCGUGAGGGAAAGGUGAAAAGCACCCCGGAAGGGGAGUGAAAGAGAUCCUGAAACCGUGUGCCUACAAAUAGUCAGAGCCCGUUAACGGGUGAUGGCGUGCCUUUUGUAGAAUGAACCGGCGAGUUACGAUCCCGUGCGAGGUUAAGCUGAAGAGGCGGAGCCGCAGCGAAAGCGAGUCUGAAUAGGGCGUUUAGUACGUGGUCGUAGACCCGAAACCAGGCGAUCUACCCAUGUCCAGGGUGAAGUUCAGGUAACACUGAAUGGAGGCCCGAACCCACGCACGUUGAAAAGUGCGGGGAUGAGGUGUGGGUAGCGGAGAAAUUCCAAUCGAACCUGGAGAUAGCUGGUUCUCCCCGAAAUAGCUUUAGGGCUAGCCUUAAGUGUAAGAGUCUUGGAGGUAGAGCACUGAUUGGACUAGGGGUCCUCAUCGGAUUACCGAAUUCAGUCAAACUCCGAAUGCCAAUGACUUAUCCUUAGGAGUCAGACUGCGAGUGAUAAGAUCCGUAGUCAAAAGGGAAACAGCCCAGACCGCCAGCUAAGGUCCCAAAGUGUGUAUUAAGUGGAAAAGGAUGUGGAGUUGCUUAGACAACUAGGAUGUUGGCUUAGAAGCAGCCACCAUUUAAAGAGUGCGUAAUAGCUCACUAGUCGAGUGACUCUGCGCCGAAAAUGUACCGGGGCUAAAUACACCACCGAAGCUGCGGAUUGAUACCAAUGGUAUCAGUGGUAGGGGAGCGUUCUAAGGACAGUGAAGUCAGACCGGAAGGACUGGUGGAGUGCUUAGAAGUGAGAAUGCCGGUAUGAGUAGCGAAAGACGGGUGAGAAUCCCGUCCACCGAAUGCCUAAGGUUUCCUGAGGAAGGCUCGUCCGCUCAGGGUUAGUCAGGACCUAAGCCGAGGCCGACAGGCGUAGGCGAUGGACAACAGGUUGAUAUUCCUGUACCACCUCUUUAUCGUUUGAGCAAUGGAGGGACGCAGAAGGAUAGAAGAAGCGUGCGAUUGGUUGUGCACGUCCAAGCAGUUAGGCUGAUAAGUAGGCAAAUCCGCUUAUCGUGAAGGCUGAGCUGUGAUGGGGAAGCUCCUUAUGGAGCGAAGUCUUUGAUUCCCCGCUGCCAAGAAAAGCUUCUAGCGAGAUAAAAGGUGCCUGUACCGCAAACCGACACAGGUAGGCGAGGAGAGAAUCCUAAGGUGUGCGAGAGAACUCUGGUUAAGGAACUCGGCAAAAUGACCCCGUAACUUCGGGAGAAGGGGUGCUUUCUUAACGGAAAGCCGCAGUGAAUAGGCCCAAGCGACUGUUUAGCAAAAACACAGCUCUCUGCGAAGCCGUAAGGCGAAGUAUAGGGGGUGACACCUGCCCGGUGCUGGAAGGUUAAGGAGAGGGGUUAGCGUAAGCGAAGCUCUGAACUGAAGCCCCAGUAAACGGCGGCCGUAACUAUAACGGUCCUAAGGUAGCGAAAUUCCUUGUCGGGUAAGUUCCGACCCGCACGAAAGGUGUAACGAUUUGGGCACUGUCUCAACCAGAGACUCGGUGAAAUUAUAGUACCUGUGAAGAUGCAGGUUACCCGCGACAGGACGGAAAGACCCCGUGGAGCUUUACUGUAGCCUGAUAUUGAAUUUUGGUACAGUUUGUACAGGAUAGGCGGGAGCCUUUGAAACCGGAGCGCUAGCUUCGGUGGAGGCGCUGGUGGGAUACCGCCCUGACUGUAUUGAAAUUCUAACCUACGGGUCUUAUCGACCCGGGAGACAGUGUCAGGUGGGCAGUUUGACUGGGGCGGUCGCCUCCUAAAGUGUAACGGAGGCGCCCAAAGGUUCCCUCAGAAUGGUUGGAAAUCAUUCGUAGAGUGCAAAGGCAUAAGGGAGCUUGACUGCGAGACCUACAAGUCGAGCAGGGACGAAAGUCGGGCUUAGUGAUCCGGUGGUUCCGCAUGGAAGGGCCAUCGCUCAACGGAUAAAAGCUACCCCGGGGAUAACAGGCUUAUCUCCCCAAGAGUCCACAUCGACGGGGAGGUUUGGCACCUCGAUGUCGGCUCAUCGCAUCCUGGGGCUGUAGUCGGUCCCAAGGGUUGGGCUGUUCGCCCAUUAAAGCGGUACGCGAGCUGGGUUCAGAACGUCGUGAGACAGUUCGGUCCCUAUCCGUCGUGGGCGUAGGAAAUUUGAGAGGAGCUGUCCUUAGUACGAGAGGACCGGGAUGGACGCACCGCUGGUGUACCAGUUGUUCUGCCAAGGGCAUAGCUGGGUAGCUAUGUGCGGAAGGGAUAAGUGCUGAAAGCAUCUAAGCAUGAAGCCCCCCUCAAGAUGAGAUUUCCCAUAGCGUAAGCUAGUAAGAUCCCUGAAAGAUGAUCAGGUUGAUAGGUUCGAGGUGGAAGCAUGGUGACAUGUGGAGCUGACGAAUACUAAUAGAUCGAGGACUUAACCAU